AUGUAAUAAACUAUCAUCUUGCCUUUAUUUUUAGUUAGCACAUACCUUAAACACUUAAAGCUAUAAGCUAAUGAUCGUUAUGUAAGAGCAGAUACUGCUGGUGCAAUAAGCUGUACAUUUUACGUCCAAUGGAUGCAUGAUCUGGCAGCCCUAGUCAGCAUAAUCUUAUUGAUGAAAUUCAAUGACACAAAUCUGGGUGAGUAAAAGUUCACCGGGCAAUAUUGUAUAACCCUUUCAGACCUCAGCCAGGCUGUCUGGACAUUUCUUUUCUAUAAUAGCUUUAAAAAGGGUAAAAAUGUUGAACAAUCAAAACGAUUCUUUGACGUGAAUCAAUUUGAUUCUCAUGGGACUCAAUUAAGAUUCAACUUUUCAAAUGUUUUUAACAUAACACUAAUUGUAAACAUUUGUCUUGCAGGUGACUGAGCAAUGGAGAAGCUGGAUGAUGUAACAGUAUCUGUCCUUAAAGGAAGACCAUCCGCUACCACAGAAACCUGAAACAACUUCUUCACCCAGGGUAGUUGCAACAGGCCCUCCAACUGCUGAUGCUAAUGUAAGCCAGCUGAAAACCUUGCAGCUCCCCAGUCCUCCGGAAUAUGUUCUGUACACCGACAGUGAGUUGGAGCAAUGCCGAAAGAGUUACCUGGAGUUGGCCUGCUCCGGCAGGGAACAGGCAUGCGUCAUGUCAAAAGUACUGAGAUGCAGAUUGGUGAGAAAUACAAUCACAAGUAUGGUGUCCC
This is a long non-coding RNA of Astatotilapia calliptera (eastern happy), 737 nucleotides long. The record is from Ensembl. Lineage: Eukaryota; Metazoa; Chordata; Actinopteri; Cichliformes; Cichlidae.